GGAUGUGAGGGCGAUCUGGCUGUGACAUCUGUCACCCCAUUGAUCGCCAGGGUUGAUUUGGUUGAUCUGGCUGGCUAGGCGGGUGUCCCCUUCCUCCCUCACCACUCCAUGUGCGUCCCUCCCGAAGCUGCGCGCUCGGUCGAAGAGGACGACCUUCCCCCAUAGAGGAGGACAGCUCUUCGGUCAAGGGCGUACGAGUAGCUGCCCUCCCCUGCUAGAACCUCCGAACAAGCUCUCAAGCAGCCAACAGGGUGAGCAGCAGAGCAGAGGAAUGCAAACACCCUGGGUCCUUGGAGAAUCUUCAAAGCCCUGGAUCAGUCUGCCCUGAA
This is a non-coding RNA of Ailuropoda melanoleuca (giant panda), 329 nucleotides long. The record is from Rfam. Lineage: Eukaryota; Metazoa; Chordata; Mammalia; Carnivora; Ursidae.